RNAcentral lists this ribosomal RNA (906 nucleotides) under Escherichia coli. RNAcentral describes it as "bacterial LSU rRNA". It matches the Rfam family "Bacterial large subunit ribosomal RNA", at positions 1056 to 1946 of the family's 2925-position model. Lineage: Bacteria; Pseudomonadati; Pseudomonadota; Gammaproteobacteria; Enterobacterales; Enterobacteriaceae. The record is from RNAcentral.
UGGUUAAGUGGGAAACGAUGUGGGAAGGCCCAGACAGCCAGGAUGUUGGCUUAGAAGCAGCCAUCAUUUAAAGAAAGCGUAAUAGCUCACUGGUCGAGUCGGCCUGCGCGGAAGAUGUAACGGGGCUAAACCAUGCACCGAAGCUGCGGCAGCGACGCUUAUGCGUUGUUGGGUAGGGGAGCGUUCUGUAAGCCUGUGAAGGUGUGCUGUGAGGCAUGCUGGAGGUAUCAGAAGUGCGAAUGCUGACAUAAGUAACGAUAAAGCGGGUGAAAAGCCCGCUCGCCGGAAGACCAAGGGUUCCUGUCCAACGUUAAUCGGGGCAGGGGGAGUCGACCCCUAAGGCGAGGCCGAAAGGCGUAGUCGAUGGGAAACAGGUUAAUAUUCCUGUACUUGGUGUUACUGCGAAGGGGGGACGGAGAAGGCUAUGUUGGCCGGGCGACGGUUGUCCCGGUUUAAGCGUGUAGGCUGGUUUUCCAGGCAAAUCCGGAAAAUCAAAGCUGAGGCGUGAUGACGAGGCACUACGGUGCUGAAGCAACAAAUGCCCUGCUUCCAGGAAAAGCCUCUAAGCAUCAGGUAACAUCAAAUCGUACCCCAAACCGACACAGGUGGUCAGGUAGAGAAUACCAAGGCGCUUGAGAGAACUCGGGUGAAGGAACUAGGCAAAAUGGUGCCGUAACUUCGGGAGAAGGCACGCUGAUAUGUAGGUGAAGUCCCUUGCGGAUGGAGCUGAAAUCAGUCGAAGAUACCAGCUGGCUGCAACUGUUUAUUAAAAACACAGCACUGUGCAAACACGAAAGUGGACGUAUACGGUGUGACGCCUGCCCGGUGCCGGAAGGUUAAUUGAUGGGGUCAGCGCAAGCGAAGCUCUUGAUCGAAGCCCCGGUAAACGGCGGCCGUAACUAUAAC